AGAGUUUGAUAUGCUCAGGAUGAACGCUAGCUACAGGCUUAACACAUGCAAGUCGAGGGGAAACGACAUCGAAAGCUUGCUUUUGAUGGGCGUCGACCGGCGCACGGGUGAGUAACGCGUAUCCAACCUGCCCACCACUUGGGGAUAACCUUGCGAAAGUAAGACUAAUACCCAAUGAUAUCUCUAGAAGACAUCUGAAAGAGAUUAAAGAUUUAUCGGUGAUGGAUGGGGAUGCGUCUGAUUAGCUUGUUGGCAGGGUAACGGCCCACCAAGGCAACGAUCAGUAGGGGUUCUGAGAGGAAGGUCCCCCACAUUGGAACUGAGACACGGUCCAAACUCCUACGGGAGGCAGCA
RNAcentral lists this ribosomal RNA (354 nucleotides) under uncultured bacterium. RNAcentral describes it as "bacterial SSU rRNA". It matches the Rfam family "Bacterial small subunit ribosomal RNA", at positions 8 to 353 of the family's 1533-position model. The record is from RNAcentral.